CAGUCGCCACGGUAAUACGAAGGGUGCAAGCGUUAAUCGGAAUUACUGGGCGUAAAGCGUGCGUAGGCGGUUCGCUAAGACAGAUGUGAAAUCCCCGGGCUUAGCCUGGGAACUGCAUUUGUGACUGGCGGGCUAGAGUAUGGCAGAGGGGGGUAGAAUUCCACGUGUAGCAGUGAAAUGCGUAGAGAUGUGGAGGAAUACCGAUGGCGAAGGCAGCCCCCUGGGCCAAUACUGACGCUCAUGCACGAAAGCGUGGGGAGCAAACAGGAUUAGAGACCCGUGUAGUCCCUGUCUCUUAUAC
Molecule: ribosomal RNA, 301 nt
Filed under: uncultured bacterium
Lineage: Bacteria
Description: partial 16S ribosomal RNA
Rfam family: Bacterial small subunit ribosomal RNA
Source: RNAcentral